UGGGUACGCUUUCUUGUUUCUUUCGCCAUGGCUAAUGGUUGCGGCUUUUCCUUUGUUUAGGCGUUUCUUGUGUUGAUGGGUUGUUCUUCUUUGGUUUAGGUGUGAGCUGAGGGUGGUGAGUGAUGCCAACCUCUUCUUCAUAGAGACAAUCCUCAAACACCAUGGGCUUCUGGAGUAUUUCUCAGAGAUUAAUACCAAUCCAAGCUAUGUGGAUGAGGAGGGGAGGCUUAGGAUCUUCCCUUACCAUGACUUCACCACCUCUCUCCAUGGCUGCAGCCUCUGUCUUCCAAACAUGUGCAAGGUAAAUAUUUUUUUUGAGGAAUCUUUAAUUAUUUAUUCACUAUCACAUGAUGCAAGGUGGAAUCCUAUGGUUGCUUAUGGUAAAUAUUCUCUGACCAUGAAGAUAGAGAUUAAACCAUGUAAAUUUAGUACCUUUUAAAGCCAUAACUUUAUCGAUGUUUUCAAAAAUCUACACUUGUUAUUUAAAUUGUGACUUUUUCUUCCUCCUCUCCAUAAUGCUUUGGAAAAAGAAGAGAGAGAGAGAGAGAGAGUGAUUUUGUAGAACAAUCUGGUUGGAACUUUGAAGGUCAAAACAGAUUUUAAUCACUUCCCUGAGCAAAGAAUACAGAAUAUAUCUCAGCCAGAUACAUGAGAAAGCAUUGAUGUAGACCUCCAAAGCAUUGUGAUAACAAUUUUGCCAUACAACAACUCACAGUAAGAUAUUUAGGAACAGUGGUUGCAAUAGGAACGAACAGUUUCUUGAGUUGUUAUAGCCCUUUUCUGAGUCUUGAUUCUCUGAUUACUUUGGCACUCAAUCCAAUCCUCUGUUUCACCAAAUACAGGGUAAGAUCAUCGAACGAAUCCAAGCGCAAGCCUCUGCAGAGAGAAAGAAGCGAUUCAUCUACUUGGGUGACGGCAGAGGAGACUACUGCCCUUCUCUCAGGCUAAGUGAAGAAGACCAUGUGAUGCCAAGGAAGAAUUACCCUCUGUGGAAGCUCAUCGGCGACAACCCUCAGCAGUUCAAGGCCGAAGUUCAUGAAUGGAGCAAUGCUGAGGAGCUUCAAAGGAUCCUCUUGCAGCUCAUCGACAGGUCGAUCACCGUCGAUCGCAAAAAUGCUGCCCAGUAGAUUGCAGGUUUGAGAAAAUUCCAAUGUCACCCAAUUAAGCCCUUCCCCUGGGUCUCAGGGUUCCUCACCAACCAUCCCUCACUUGACCCUCAAAUAUUUGGCACGAGUGAUAGAUUUACUUGAAUUAUGAUAAGGACCAUUUUAGCACCAUCCAUUUUGUUUUUUGUUUUUUUUUUUGGGCCCAUCUUUCACCUUUUGUACCUGAUAUGUCUUGAAAAAUUUUCGAAAUAUUGUGGUGUAGAGAGGACUUCUUUGAUCCCACAUCAGUUAUGAAUUAAAAGAAAGUAUAGUUUAUAUGGAUUGAAAUCUUCUCUCUCCGAUCAGACAUUUUUUUAAAAGAUAAAAUCAUGAGGUUUCGUGCGACAAUGUCAAAGAUCAAAGUGGACAAUACCUCAUAUAUAUAGGUACAUAAUUAAUCCAACCAUCCGAGCCAUUCGACCCUUUGAUCUAUGUUGUAGAAAAUUUUUUAUAAUACUAGUUGAAAAUAAAUCUAUAUAUUCCACUGGAAUACUAGAUCAACCUCGCAUGUGUUCUCCAUAGACAGCCAUUUUGUGGUCCUCCUGUCGUCAUUCUGAAAGCUCCACAUUUGUUCCACCCAAGCGUAGUACCAGCAUCAGUGGAGUGAGGCAUCUUUUGACGAAUGGGCACAUCAUGGCAGCAAAGGCAUGAUCCAUCCACAUGAUGACGUUUACAUUCUCAAAAGGAGACAUACAGUAGGGAACUGAAGAAAAGAUUCCAGAAAGCAGAAAAUAUAAUAUAAGAUGUUCCUUGUCAAAAGAGCAUCACAAACCAAAAAUCAUAGACAUAAUGAUACCACUUGUUUUAAAUUUCACAUAACAAAAGACCAAAGCAUGAUCAUUUUCUGCUUAUCUUUUAUUGUUUAAUUUUAGUUAUAAUGUUUGAAAGUCGGGCUACGGUGCUCUCUAAAACUUUUUCAAGAAUUGCUGUUUAAUUACUACUCAUCGUUCAUUGUAAAAUGAACAGUCUAGAUUUCACUGAUGGCAACUGGUUAUGGCCAUGGAAGGUUCAAGUAUGAGCGGCAAGUACUAUAAUUUAGGUAAAAUAUAAGGUUAGUAACUGGUGUAAUUUUUUUAACCUUGGAAGUUAUAAGCGAAGUAAGGAUGGUAUUGACGCAAUUUUUUUCAACUUGGGGGUUCGUAAGCAAAGGUAGGAUGGAUGGCAUUUGAUGCAAUAUUCAAGAGGUUUUAUGAACCAGAAUUCAGAAAUAAAAACAUGGGAGGAAGAACAUUGGCUCUCUCACACAAAACUAAACUUUGAUAACAAAAAUGACAAGCUUCCGCAUCGGUUCAAGCAUCCUUGACAAUCUUGAGUAUCGUUCUCUCCUAGAGAAUGCGGUUCAAUUUCUCAAUUGUUCCUCGAAUAAUCCAUUCAUCAUUUAUGUUCUCCUAUCCUUUGCCAUUUGAUUACAUUUCACUAGUGAAUUUUAAAGGCUUUUUAAUAAGGUACUUGAUCUAUUUAACCCAAUCAUCUGCAAUUUCUUUGGUCGACCUAAUCGAUCCGAUACAUUCACGAGCCUUGAUCAUUGGACAGUCUCUCUCAGGAAACAUGUAUCAAUUGCAGUAUUAGCUGACCAAAUGUCAAGUGUUUGAAGUGAUGUUUCAGAUCCUCAGGAGCAGCACCUUCAGGUAAAAGUAGCGCUCUAGGUCUUCUUAGUCUUCUUGAUCUCUUGCUAGUGGUGUCAUCCCAUCUCUUUUAGCCUAAUUUGUAUUGAAAUAUAAGACAUGCACACAACAUCUCAACUUAAGCAUCCCAAAGUGUGCUGAAUUCUCUGUGAUUACAGUGAUGGUUUUCUUGUAUUGCAAAGUAUUGCAAUAGAAACUUGUUUGGAUCAGUACCCAUAAUCAUUCUCUGGAAGAUGUGCCUCUUCUAUUAAUGGCAAAUUCACCAUGGGGCUCCUAGUCUUGGAAAUCUAAUCUCCUUAUGAAUGACCAUAUAAAUAUUGAAAGUUUGCCUUCAUGCAUCUAUUAUACCGAAUGGGAUAUCAGAUUAAUUUAAUGUGCAAUUUAUACGGAACUGAUGAAUUGGGGAAUCAAAAACAAAUUCCACCACUACAAAGUGGGGCAUUGAAAUAUAUGUAAGUUCAAAUAUAUGAUCAAAAUAAUAUUCGAAAAAAUAAAUUUGCAUAUCUUAAAAGAUAAUAUUAUAUAUUAUGAAUGAUGAUAUUAGCAAAUGACUUCAUUAUUUUAUCAGUGUUUAGGUUUCCAAAAAAAUAAAAAUCUGAUUUAUAUGGGACUGGUAUUAGACACCAUGAUCACGUUAGAGGAAACAUUGACCCUAAAGGGAUGAGAUCAUUCUUUUCUUCCUAUAGAAUUCAGGUUGGCCAACUCUAAAAGUUUUUAUGAAUACUUGAAGAUUGCACAGAUUUAUCCCAAACAGAUAUUAAGUGAUUCCCAUCUUAUGAAUGUAUUCCGACUUAGUGAUUCUAUGGAUUUCUUGUUUCUCUUGUUAUAGCCAAUUACAAUAUAUCUUAAAUUGGCUACAAUUACCCAGGUCAGGACUAGCCCAUCCUCUAGCCAAUUGCACAAACUUUCCAUUUAAGCAUUUCAUCUACCAUGUAUAUUGACCCCUUCACAUAUCCCUUUUUCCUCUUUUAAAUUUUAAUGAAUGCACUUUUGGUCAUCACUUGAAUUACCAAUAAAUCAAACGUCUAUGAAACAAACAUUCAUGCUCAUCUAUAAAAGGUGUCAUUCAUAUUAAAUUCCCACCUCACAAGCACCAAUAGAGGGAUCAAAGUCCUGAGUGGAUCCCCAAGAAAACACACUAGUUUUUGGAAGCCACAUCCAAAUUUAAUUGAAUCAGCACUCGAAAGCCUAAACCAACAGCUGGAAUCCUGUGGAUUAUAAGUGUUGGACCUGCACUGGAUCCCAAUUGACACAUGAUCUCACCCAUGGUCCAGCUCAUUUUAAUAAGUUUACUUCAUGUUUCAGGUCAAAGAGCUUUAUUUGAUUGCUUUGGACCCAGCUGGACCAUUAAUCUUUAGUAACUUAUAAUUUUAAUCUGGUUUUAAGAACCUAGAUUUGGCCAUUAUGAUUCCAACUAAUAUAGAGACCUUUUUCUAAUCACAUUGAAACCAGCAGAAAUCUUUGUAAGUAAAUGCGUCAUGUUUGGAUCUGGGUUUGGUGGAGGCCUGCCAUAUUUUGUAACCCAUCUGUCCCCCCAACCAGAAUUAUUUAAGACAGUUCAGGUUAGCCAACCAAACCUGCAGCACAAAGAAAGAGCCCAAAGCAUGCGUAGCACACCGAACCUUUCUACUUUAAAGCAUUAUUGGUUUCCAUAUCAGACAAUGAGUUGAUGAGAUGGUAGUCAUAUUGAAUACCUCUUCCUUCCUUGAAAGUUCUGUUCUCUUUCAUUGAAUUAUAGGCUGCUGGAUUCUAGACUUCUUUUGUUUGCAGUUUUUUUUUAAUAAUUAAGUUUUGUUUGUGUGAAUGUUUUUUUUUAAAUCUUCUUUGAUUUCUAAGUUGGGCACACGUGGGAUUUGAACGAUGUCCUACGGCAUCUAGAACCCAAUAAAGCCCCCAUCAUCCCAAAGGAAAAAAAAAAAUGGAGGCACUAGAUCCAUCUAGAAUCAGUUCUAGACCUUUUUUUUGAUAGAACUAGACCUGAUUAUGAAACCAACAUAUUCUUUCCUUUCUUCUUCCAUUUGGGCCUUCUAUUGGUAGCAUUUCUUAAAUAAACAAACCGAAAUAACUACAUUCACAUAUUUGAAGUUAGGAGUCGGUUUGUCUACUGUAGCUCACUUUAGUCUUUUUAAAAAAAAAAAAAAAAGUUUAAAACAACUUUGUUGAGAUUUUUUUUUUUGCUGAUAAAUGUAGUAAAAAAAAUGGAAGAAAAAUAUCUAAUCACAGUUAAGAGAUGUAUUUCAACUUUCAAGUCUAGGUCAACAUAUGCAUUGCAUUCACAAUAUCUGCUUCUUCUGUUAGAAACAAAACCAACAUGACAUAAUUCCUUUAGUUGUUCACUCAUCCUGCACUGUCACCACAUCAAAAUCACAAUUUAUCCAUGAGCCAGAUUUAUUUUAAACACAAAAUGUUUUCAAAACGAAGCAAGGAAAAUUUGUAAAACAGAUAUUCCAAUGAGAAAAGCCUCAAUUGCGUAGUAGCAUAAGUGAUGUGAUGCUAUUUGUUUGGAACUUGGGUUAACAAAAGAAAGGACAAUUGUCUUGUGUUCUUUUUCCUUUAUCAAAACACUGCAUAUGCCCAUUCCAAAACCUUAUACUCAAAGGACAAGCACUAAGAGAUAAAGAUUGAUAAAAAAUCAGAACCUUAGCUUUUCCUCUACCUUGGAAGACCAAGGCUGCACCUGCCUAAAAAAGAAAAUAUGACCACAAGUUCACUGAAGAAAAGUUGAGAAUGUUAUGAUACAUAAGAAAAUAUUCAAAUAAUCAACAUUUGAUAAAUAAAAAAAACACUAAAAUUGUUUAUAAAAUCAUGAAUACUCAUCCAAGUAAAUACUAAAUACAAAUAUGGACAACACGAGAAUGAUGAACAGUUACACCAUUUUGUCUGUUAUUAAACAGGAUCAGGAUGGGGAGAUUUCAAAGUCAAUCCAAAAGAAUAAGAAAGAGGAAAGAAAGAAGGAAAGAGGGAAAAGAAAAGAAAAAAAGUAAUACAAGAGAAAAAAGGAGAAAAAAAAGGAAAGAAAUAAGUGGAAAAAGAAAGGCAGGAAGAGAAGAACGAAAAAGAAAGGAAAAGAUAAAAGAAAAAUAGAAGGAAAAAAAAAAAAAAAAGAAACAAAACAAUGGGAGGGAGAGAGAAUAAGAAGAAAGAGAAGGAUGAAGGAUUAUCCAUAACGGGCAAGCCAACUGUUUUUAAUAAAUGCGGAAUUUAUGACCCAUAAAUAAUUCGUUUUAAUGACAAUAAUUAAAAAUAGGCCCUCCCAAAAAGUAGGACCAAUUGUUGAAAGACCCAGAAGAAACUCCAGAGUCAAUCCUUCUGGACUACGUCGUUCUAGAAAGGCUGGCCAUGGGUGUAGGCGGCCGAGGAUAUCCCGCAGCUCCUAUCCCGAAUAUUCCCUCCACCCAACGGCUCCAAACCAUGGAGCCUGCGCGACGGCGGCGUGCGAUCCACGCGUUUCCACCAAAGUUUCGUUGCUCCUUCGAAUAUUCCAUCCUAUCCUCCCCGAUUCUUCUCGGAACCACACCUUGUGGUGGGUAUUCCACCCACCAUGGAAUAAAUCCUUGGAGAUAAAAAAAAAAAAACAAAACAAAAAAAUAAAAAAAACAAAACCGGGAGUCUACAGUUACUCCCAUCACCGCAUAUGCCACAUAAUAUUCCUCUUGCAUCUCCUGCUCCCUAUAAAUAUCCCCCUCCAAACCAUCGCAUCCUCAAAACUCUCACAGAAUAGAAUUGCUAUUCCAAGAAGAAUUGCCAGAGGUUUCUUCAGCUCGAUUUCGAUUCAAUGGCGCGGAUCAUCGUGGUGUUCGACUUCGACAAGACGAUCAUAGACUGCGACAGCGAUAACUGGGUCGUCGACGAGCUCGGCGCCACCGAGCUCUUCGAGCGCCUCCUCCCGACCAUGCCGUGGAAUUCUCUCAUGGUUUGUGCGCCAAUAUCACACCACACUCGUUGCUUUCUUCUUCAUUCCAAAUCAUAUCCAACUCAGUUCUCAGUAUACAUCAUUGUCUUUUAUAACUCUUUCAGGAUAGGAUGAUGAGGGAGCUGCAUUCACAGGGAAAGACAAUCGAGGAGAUCGCGGACUGCCUGAAGAGGGCUCCAUUGGAUCCUCAUGUCAUUGCGGCCAUCAAAUCGGCGUAUGCUCAUGGGUACGCUUUCUUGUUUCUUUUGCCAUGGCUAAUGGUUGCAACUUUUCCAUCGUUUAGGCAUUUCUUGUGCUGAUGGGUUGUUCUUCUUUGGUUUAGGUGUGAGCUGAGGGUGGUGAGUGAUGCCAACCUCUUCUUCAUAGAGACAAUCCUCAAACACCAUGGGCUUCUUGAGUAUUUCUCAGAGAUUAAUACCAAUCCAAGCUAUGUGGAUGAGGAGGGGAGGCUU
Molecule: long non-coding RNA, 7135 nt
Filed under: Elaeis guineensis (African oil palm)
Lineage: Eukaryota; Viridiplantae; Streptophyta; Magnoliopsida; Arecales; Arecaceae
Description: long non-coding RNA (EGUI_LNC015603)
Source: RNAcentral